GUGCUCGCUUCAGCAGCACAUAUACUAAAAUUGGAAUGAUACAGAGAAGGUUAGCAUAGUUCUUACGCAAGGAUGACAUGCAAAUCUGUGAAGCGUUCCAUAUAAAA
RNAcentral lists this small nuclear RNA (107 nucleotides) under Carlito syrichta (Philippine tarsier). Lineage: Eukaryota; Metazoa; Chordata; Mammalia; Primates; Tarsiidae. The record is from RNAcentral.